GGUGGCUCAGUGGUAGAGUGUUUGUCUUGCAUGCAUAAGGCCCUGGGUUCGAUUCCUCAGCACCA
Molecule: transfer RNA, 65 nt
Filed under: Dipodomys ordii (Ord's kangaroo rat)
Lineage: Eukaryota; Metazoa; Chordata; Mammalia; Rodentia; Heteromyidae
Rfam family: tRNA
About the family: Transfer RNA (tRNA) molecules are approximately 80 nucleotides in length. Their secondary structure includes four short double-helical elements and three loops (D, anti-codon, and T loops). Further hydrogen bonds mediate the characteristic L-shaped molecular structure. tRNAs have two regions of fundamental functional importance: the anti-codon, which is responsible for specific mRNA codon recognition, and the 3' end, to which the tRNAs corresponding amino acid is attached (by aminoacyl-tRNA synthetases). tRNAs cope with the degeneracy of the genetic code in two manners: having more than one tRNA (with a specific anti-codon) for a particular amino acid; and 'wobble' base-pairing, i.e. permitting non-standard base-pairing at the 3rd anti-codon position.
Source: Rfam by way of RNAcentral